This 253-nucleotide ribosomal RNA is filed under the name uncultured bacterium. RNAcentral describes it as "partial 16S ribosomal RNA". It matches the Rfam family "Bacterial small subunit ribosomal RNA", at positions 524 to 776 of the family's 1533-position model. The record is from RNAcentral.
UACGGGGGGGGCAAGCGUUGUUCGGAAUUACUGGGCGUAAAGGGCUCGUAGGUGGCCAACUAAGUCAGACGUGAAAUCCCUCGGCUUAACCGGGGAACUGCGUCCGAUACUGGAUGGCUGGAGUAUGGGAGAGGGAUGCGGAAUUCCAGGUGUAGCGGUGAAAUGCGUAGAUAUCUGGAGGAACACCGGUGGCGAAGGCGGCAUCCUGGACCGGCAUUGACGCUGAGGCGCGAAAGCCAGGGGAGCAAACGGG